Molecule: ribosomal RNA, 464 nt
Filed under: uncultured bacterium
Lineage: Bacteria
Description: partial 16S ribosomal RNA
Rfam family: Bacterial small subunit ribosomal RNA
Source: RNAcentral
CCUACGGGGUGCUGCAGUAGGGAAUCUUCGUCAAUGGGCGCAAGCCUGAACGAGCAAUGCCGCGUGAACGAGGAAGGUCUUCGGAUCGUAAAGUUCUGUUGAAGGGGAAAAAGAGCGGAGAGAGGAAAUGGUCUCCGAUUGAUAUUACCCUUCGAGGAAGUCACGGCUAACUACGUGCCAGCAGCCGCGGUAAUACGUAGGUGGCGAGCGUUAUCCGGAAUGAUUGGGCGUAAAGGGUGCGUAGGCGGCCUGCUAGGUCUGGAGUGAAAGGUACCGGCUCAACCGGUACAGGCUCUGGAAACUGGCGGGCUAGAGAGCAGGAGAGGGCGGUGGAACUCCAUGUGUAGCGGUAAAAUGCGUAGAUAUAUGGAAGAACACCAGUGGCGAAGGCGGCCGCCUGGCCUGUUACUGACGCUGAGGCACGAAAGCGUGGGGAGCAAAUAGGAUUAGAUACCCCGGUAGUC